UACGUAGGCAGCGAGCGUUGUUCGGAAUUACUGGGCGUAAAGAGUGUGUAGGCGGUGUUCCCAGUCUGUUGUGAAAUCUCCCGGCUUAACUGGGAGGGUGCAGCGGAAACUAGAAUGCUAGAGGGUGGGAGAGGUAAGCGGAAUUCCUGGUGUAGCGGUGAAAUGCGUAGAUAUCAGGAGGAACACCGGUGGCGAAGGCGGGUCUCUGGGCAGUAACUGACGCUGAGGAGCGAAAGCGUGGGGAGCGAACAGG
This 253-nucleotide ribosomal RNA is filed under the name uncultured bacterium. RNAcentral's name for it is "partial 16S ribosomal RNA". It matches the Rfam family "Bacterial small subunit ribosomal RNA", at positions 524 to 776 of the family's 1533-position model. The record is from RNAcentral.